RNAcentral lists this long non-coding RNA (337 nucleotides) under Phascolarctos cinereus (koala). RNAcentral's name for it is "lncRNA (ENSPCIG00000005417.2)". The record is from RNAcentral. Lineage: Eukaryota; Metazoa; Chordata; Mammalia; Diprotodontia; Phascolarctidae.
AUUCAGACUCUGAGGAAAUUAAGAAGCUAAAAUACAGAUCCCCACUGGUUACAUACAAUCUAAAUAUAAGUGAUGGACAAUCUGCAGAAGAAACAAAAGAAAGCAAACACAGAAAGAGGAGGAAAGUGAGCAUGGAUGAUUCGGGACUGAAAGUUACUGAAAACAUUACUGAACAUGAAGAUAGUCAACAGUCAAAGACAAGAUCAGCAACAAAUGUAAAGGUAGACAAUAAUCAACGUAGUUACAAACGGAAAAAGAAAAGGAAACAUAGCAAAAUACAGGAGAAUUUAUCAAGCGAACAUGAUAAGGUACACAUUAACCUUUAUUCUCUUCAAUA